RNAcentral lists this small RNA (358 nucleotides) under Capsella rubella. RNAcentral's name for it is "5' ureB small RNA". It matches the Rfam family "5' ureB small RNA". The record is from Rfam by way of RNAcentral. Lineage: Eukaryota; Viridiplantae; Streptophyta; Magnoliopsida; Brassicales; Brassicaceae.
CUUCGUAUACUAACUGCGGACAUAUGAAAUGCACAUGACAGUCAAUAGCUCCUGCAGUUACAAUCAUUCCUUCUCCAGCAAUAACUUCAGUCUUAUUCUAAUAAAAUCAACAAGAGGAGGUAAGUAGCCCAAUAUGGUAACUACAGUGUUCAUACAGUGUAUCAAAAUUACCCCUAUAAGCAUAUUGCUCUGCACACCAUGCAUGGUAUCUGGAUUGCCUGCUUUGCCAAGACCGACAAUAUGACCAUUUCUAAUGCCAAUAUCUGCCUUAUAUAUUCCUGUAUAAUCAAUUAUCACACUAUUGGUAAUGACAGUAUCCAAAGAAAGAGCUUCAGAUUGCUCUAUCCCUUGUCCCAUG